GACGAACGCUGGCGGCGUGCUUAACACAUGCAAGUCGAACGAAAAUACCAAGCUUGCUUGGUUGAUUAGUGGCGAACGGGUGAGUAACACGUGAGUAACCUGCCCCUUACUUUCCUGGAUAACUGCUCGAAAGGGUAGCUAAUACGGGAUAUUCUGACCAGCCUGCAUGGGUUGGUUUGGAAAGGUUGUUUUUCUGGUAAGGGAUGGGCUCGCGGCCUAUCAGCUUGUUGGUGGGGUGAUGGCCUACCAAGGCUUUGACGGGUAGCCGGCCUGAGAGGGUGGACGGUCACACUGGGACUGAGAUACGGCCCAGAGUCCUACGGGAGGCAGCAGUGGGGAAUAUUGCACAAUGGGCGCAAGCCUGAUGCAGCGACGCCGCGUGAGGGAUGAAGGCCUUCGGGUUGUAAACCUCUUUCGUCAGGGAACAAGGCACUGCUUUUUUGGUGGUGUUGAGGGUACCUGGAUAAGAAGCGCCGGCUAACUACGUG
Molecule: ribosomal RNA, 488 nt
Filed under: uncultured bacterium
Lineage: Bacteria
Description: partial 16S ribosomal RNA
Rfam family: Bacterial small subunit ribosomal RNA
Source: RNAcentral